GCAAGCGUUGUCCGGAAUUAUUGGGCGUAAAGAGCUCGUAGGCGGUCUGUCGCGUCGGCUGUGAAAACCCGAGGCUCAACCUCGGGCCUGCAGUCGAUACGGGCAAACUAGAGUACUGCAGGGGAGACUGGAAUUCCUGGUGUAGCGGUGAAAUGCGUAGAUAUCAGGAGGAAUACCGAUGGCGACGGCAGGUCUCUGGGCUGACACUGACGCUCAUGCACGAAAGCGUGGGGAGCAAACAGG
RNAcentral lists this ribosomal RNA (243 nucleotides) under uncultured bacterium. RNAcentral's name for it is "partial 16S ribosomal RNA". It matches the Rfam family "Bacterial small subunit ribosomal RNA", at positions 534 to 776 of the family's 1533-position model. The record is from RNAcentral.